Molecule: long non-coding RNA, 611 nt
Filed under: Ananas comosus (pineapple)
Lineage: Eukaryota; Viridiplantae; Streptophyta; Magnoliopsida; Poales; Bromeliaceae
Description: long non-coding RNA (ACOM_LNC013561)
Source: RNAcentral
AUUGGGUUUAUAAGAGACUUAGACAUUAGUAAUAAUAACUGGACUUAAGCAUUUUGGGCCGGUGGUUGGGUCUAACGAGUUAUUGUUGCUAGUGGGCUGGGUCGUUACAUUUGGUAUCAGAGCCGGUUCACCAGCUGGACAUGUGUGGCGAGUCUCGGCUGAGCCAGGGUUUGGAUGAUGGGCUAGCGAGACGAGUCUCACAUCGCCUGGUGAUCUUGGGCUGUGUGUGUGAUUGGACUGACGAGGACGUCGGGUCCUUAAUGGUGGGAGUUUGUGACACUCCAAUAAUCCCACAUCGGAUGAGAAUGGGGUUGUCAUUGGGUUUAUAAGAGACUUAGACACUAGUAAUAAUAACUGGACUUAAGCAUUUUGGGCUGGUUGUUGGGUCCAAUGAGUUAUUGUUGCUAGUGGGCUGGGUCGUUACAAAAUCACUUCAGCAAAAAAAUUUGCCAAACAGCUUUCUAAAAUCACUUUAGCACAAUCACUUUUCUAUCAAACUCAGCCAAACGCUCUACAGCUUUUAACAGAAAUCAUUUUUCCAAACUAAAAUCACUUCUGCAGAAAUCACUUUUCUAGAAGCUAGGCCAAACGGGCCCCAGUAACAUCUAUAG